GGGCCCGCACAAGCGGUGGAGUAUGUGGUUUAAUUCGAUGCAACGCGAAGAACCUUACCAGGGUUUGACAUCCUGCGAAUCUCUUGGAAACGAGAGAGUGCCUUCGGGAACGCAGUGACAGGUGGUGCAUGGCUGUCGUCAGCUCGUGUCGUGAGAUGUUGGGUUAAGUCCCGCAACGAGCGCAACCCACGUCUUUAGUUGCCAGCAUUUAGUUGGGCACUCUAGAGAGACUGCCGGUGAUAAACCGGAGAAGGUGUGGAUGACGUCAAGUCAUCAUGCCCCUUACAUCUGGGCUACACACGUACUACAAUGGCAGGUACAAAGGGUUGCAAGACGGCGACGUGGAGCUAAUCCCAUAAAGCCUGCUC
Molecule: ribosomal RNA, 368 nt
Filed under: uncultured bacterium
Lineage: Bacteria
Description: bacterial SSU rRNA
Rfam family: Bacterial small subunit ribosomal RNA
Source: RNAcentral